AACGCUGGCGGCAUGCCUUACACAUGCAAGUCGAACGGCAGCACGGGUGCUUGCACCUGGUGGCGAGUGGCGAACGGGUGAGUAAUACAUCGGAACGUACCUUAUCGUGGGGGAUAACGCAGCGAAAGCUGUGCUAAUACCGCAUACGCCCUGAGGGGGAAAGCGGGGGAUCGCAAGACCUCGCGCGAUUGGAGCGGCCGAUAUCAGAUUAGGUAGUUGGUGGGGUAAAGGCUCACCAAGCCAACGAUCUGUAGCUGGUCUGAGAGGACGACCAGCCACACUGGAACUGAGACACGGACCCGACUCCUACGGGAGGCAGCAGUAAGGAAUAUUGGACAAUGGUCGAAAGACUGAUCCAGCCAUCCCGCGUGCAGGAUGACUGCCCUAUGGGUUGUAAACUGCUUUUAUAUGGGAAGAAUAGCAUAGAUUCAUCUGUGUAUGACGGUACCAUAUGAAUAAGCACCGGCUAACUCCGUG
RNAcentral lists this ribosomal RNA (477 nucleotides) under uncultured bacterium. RNAcentral's name for it is "bacterial SSU rRNA". It matches the Rfam family "Bacterial small subunit ribosomal RNA", at positions 32 to 507 of the family's 1533-position model. The record is from RNAcentral.